Molecule: ribosomal RNA, 252 nt
Filed under: uncultured bacterium
Lineage: Bacteria
Description: partial 16S ribosomal RNA
Rfam family: Bacterial small subunit ribosomal RNA
Source: RNAcentral
UACGUAGGGGGCUAGCGUUGUCCGGAAUCAUUGGGCGUAAGCGCGUGUAGGCGGUUCGGUAAGUCCGCUGUGAAAGUCGGGGGCUCAACCCUCGGAUGCCGGUGGAUACUGUCGGACUAGAGUACGGAAGAGGCGAGUGGAAUUCCUGGUGUAGCGGUGAAAUGCGCAGAUAUCAGGAGGAACACCGAUUGCGAAGGCAGCUCGCUGGGACGUUACUGACGCUGAGACGCGAAAGCGUGGGGAGCAAACAGG